AUGGGGGCCUUCUCCUACCACGCCGCCCACAUGGCGGCGCUCACGCUGGCGAUGCUGCUGGCAUUGCUGCGGGUGUGCGCCGCCGGCAACCCGCCGUUCUCGUGCGGCCAGGGAGCCCCGACGCAGGGCCUCGCGUUCUGCAACCCGGCGCUGCCGCCCGCGCAGCGGGCGGCGGACCUGGUGGCGCGGCUGUCGCUGGCGGAGAAGGUGUCGCAGCUGGGCGACGAGGCGCCGGGGGUGCCGCGGCUGGGCGUGCCGCCGUACAAGUGGUGGUCGGAGGGCCUCCACGGGCUCUCCUUCUGGGGCCACGGCAUGCACUUCGACGGCGCCGUCCGCGCCAUCACCAGCUUCCCGCAGGUGCUGCUCACCGCCGCCGCCUUCGACGAGCAGCUGUGGUACCUCAUCGGGCAGGCGAUCGGGACGGAGGCUCGGGCGCUGUACAACCUGGGCCAGGCGGAGGGGCUCACCAUCUGGUCACCCAACGUGAACAUCUUCCGCGACCCGCGGUGGGGCCGCGGCCAGGAGACCCCCGGCGAGGACCCCACCACGGCGAGCAAGUACGCCGUGGCGUUCGUGCGGGGCCUGCAGGGCAGCUCGCCGACGGUGCUCCAGACCUCGGCCUGCUGCAAGCACGCCUCCGCCUACGACCUCGAGGCCUGGAACGGCGCCAUCCGCUACAACUUCAACGCGAGGGUGACGGCCCAGGACAUGGCGGACACCUUCAACCCGCCUUUCAAGAGCUGCGUGGAGGAAGGCCGGGCCAGCUGCGUCAUGUGCGCCUACACCACCAUCAAUGGCGUCCCCGCCUGCGCCAGCAACGACCUCCUCUCCAGGACCUUCAAGGGAGACUGGGGCUUGAACGGGUACGUUUCGUCGGACUGUGAUGCCGUGGCGCUCAUGCACGACGCGCAGUUCUAUCGGCCCUCGCCGGAGGACACGGUCGCAGUUGCCCUCAAGGCCGGGUUGGAUUUGAACUGCGGGAACUACACACAGGUGCACGGCAUGGCCGCGGUGCGGCAGGGAAGGAUGACGGAGCAGGACGUGGACAGGGCCCUCCGUAACCUCUUCGCCGUCCGGAUGCGGCUCGGACACUUCGACGGGGACCCCCGGGGCAGCGCGCUGUACGGGGGCCUUGGCGCCAAGGACGUGUGCUCGCCCACGCACAAGAACCUGGCACUCCAGGCGGCCACGAGCGGCAUCGUCCUGCUCAAGAACGACGCCGGCAUCCUCCCGCUUCGACGGGGCGCGGUGGCGUCCGCCGCCGUCAUCGGCCAUAAUGCCAAUGACCCCCGCGCGCUCAAUGGCAAUUACUUCGGCCCUCCGUGCGAGACCACGACGCCGCUGCAGGGGCUCCAGGGGUACGUGCAGAACGUCAGGUUCCUGGCCGGGUGCGACUCGGCGGCGUGCGGCUUUGCCGCGACGGGCCAGGCGGUGGGGUUAGCGGCCUCGUCGGACUACGUGUUCCUGUUCAUGGGCCUGAGCCAGGCGCAGGAGCAGGAGGGGCUCGACAGGACGAGUCUUCUGCUGCCAGGGAAGCAGCAGAGCCUUAUCACCGCAGUCGCCAACGCGGCGAAACGGCCGGUGAUCCUGGUGCUCCUCACCGGCGGUCCGGUUGACGUGACAUUCGCCAAAGGUAACCCCAAGAUCGGUGCAAUUCUGUGGGCCGGCUACCCUGGUCAGGCCGGCGGGCUCGCCAUCGCCAGGGUCCUCUUCGGAGAUCACAACCCCAGCGGCAGGCUGCCGGUGACGUGGUACCCGGAGGAGUUCACCAAGGUGCCCAUGACGGACAUGCGGAUGCGCGCCGACCCGGCCACCGGAUACCCCGGCCGGAGCUACCGCUUCUACCAGGGCAACGCCGUCUACAAGUUUGGUUACGGCCUCAGCUACUCCAAGUUCUCUCGCCAACUAGUUGUCUCCGGUACCGGCAACGAAGCACCGAACACGAAUCUGCUCGCCGGCCUGGCCGCCACGCCAACUGCCGACGGCGGCGCGAGCUACGUGGUCGAGGAGAUCGGGGCCGACGGGUGCGAGCAGCUCAAGUUCCCGGCAGUGGUCGAGGUGCAGAACCACGGUCCCCUGGACGGGAAGCACUCGGUGCUGAUGUUCCUCCGGUGGCCCAACGCGACGGGUGGGCGUCCGGUGAGCCAGCUGAUUGGGUUCCGAACCCAUCAUCUCAAGGCCGGCGAGAAGGCCAGCCUCAGGUUCGACGUCAGCCCGUGCGAGCACUUCAGCAGGGCGAGGGAGGAUGGCAAGAAGGUGAUCGAUGGAGGCUCACAUUUCCUCAGGGUUGGCAAGGACGAGCACGAGAUCAGCUUCGAGUCCUGA
RNAcentral lists this ribosomal RNA (2325 nucleotides) under Triticum aestivum (bread wheat). RNAcentral's name for it is "partial small subunit ribosomal RNA". Lineage: Eukaryota; Viridiplantae; Streptophyta; Magnoliopsida; Poales; Poaceae. The record is from RNAcentral.